RNAcentral lists this long non-coding RNA (645 nucleotides) under Capsicum annuum. Its description in RNAcentral is "long non-coding RNA (CANN_LNC009725)". Lineage: Eukaryota; Viridiplantae; Streptophyta; Magnoliopsida; Solanales; Solanaceae. The record is from RNAcentral.
GCACUAUCAAGAAGACACAUAUCUCCAUUACUUAUCUUGGAUCCAAUUGAAGAUAGAAAAAUUUUAUUACCUUUACAAAAUAAAAGUACAUGGUAAGAAAUGUAAAAUCUCACGAAAUUUUACGAUGAAAUUUAAAUACUUUUUUUCUUGAAAAAUAAAAACAACACAAUGAAAAAGCUUGAUAACUAAAAAAUCACAUAAAGAAAACAACACAAUUGAUUUUUUUAAUAAAUUGAUCAAGAUUCAGUUUUGAUCUCCAAAGAAGUCUUCAACUUUCAAAUGAGUAAUCUCAUCAAGGCCAUCAAAUCAUUAUCUUUCAAAAUCAAGAUUGCCUCAACAUUGUCAUCAUAUUUUUGUGAAGGUAUUACCUCAUCAUUAUUUUUGAAAGUCAAGUGUGACUUCAUUUGGACAUUAGAAGAGGUCCCACCUUCAUUUUCCUUUCUUUUUGAAAAUUUUGAUAAAGCCUAGAGAAAUGCUUAGGCGCCCAAUAUUCAUUCUUCCAAUGGCCUUUCAUGCCACAAUGAUGACACUUGCUUCUUGAAGGAUUGUUUUGAGGACCCAUUUGCUGGAUGUGGUUCUAAGAGCCAAACAAAAAUGAAUACCACACAAAUGAUCCAUCUCUUUGUCCACUUGAGAGGGCUUUUG